AUGGAGGCCGUCGAGGAAGUCACGGGUGUGGAGGUGAGGCCUGUGGAGGUGCCUGGAGCUGUACUGGAGGCUGUGGUGGUCUCAGAUGACGUGGUGGAGGACAAUGUGGAGGUCACGGGGGUUGUAGUGAGGCCUGUGGAGGUCCCAGGAGUGGUUGAGGAGGCCAUGGAGGUCACGGAAGAGGUGGUGGAGGACACAGUGGAGGUCCCCAAAGUAGAGGUGAGACCUGUGGAUGUUGCUGGAGUUGUGCUGGAGACAGUGGAGGUCUCAACAGAGGUGGUGGAAGCAGAUGUGGAGGUCAGAAGAGUGGAGGUGAGGCCAGUAGAGGUGCCUGGAGUUGUACUGGAGGCCGUGGAGGUCUCAGCUGAGGUGGUGGAGGCUGAUGUGGAGGUCAAAGGAGUGGAAGUGAGGCCUGUGGAGGUCCCUGGAGUGGUUGAGAAGGCUGUGGAGGUCUCAGAAGAGGUGGUAGAGGCCACAGUGGAGGUCACUGGUGUGGAGGUGAGGCCUGUGGCUGUUGCUGGAGUUGUGCUGGAGACAGUGGAGGUCUCACCAGAGGUCGUGGAGGACGAUGUGGUGGUCACUGGUGUGGUUGAGGAGGCCGUGGAGGUCUCGGAAGAGGUGGAGGAGGCAGAUGUGGAGGACACAGCUGUGGAUGUGAGGCCUGUGGAGGUGCCUGGAGCUGUACUGGAGGCUGUGGUGCUCUCAGAUGAUGUGGUGGAGGACAAUGUGGAGGUCAUGAGUGUUGUAGUGAGGCCUGUGGAGGUGCCUGGAGUGGUUGAGGAGACCGAGGAGGUCUCAGAAGAGGUGGUGGAGGCCACUGUGGAGGUCAUGGGUGUGGAGGUGCCUGGAGUUGUACUGGAGGCCGUGGAGGUCUCAGCUGAGGUGGUGGAGGCCAAUGUGGAGGUUAAAGGAGUGGAAGUGAGGCCUGUGGAAGUCCCUGGAGUGGACGAGGAGGCCGUGGAGGUCUCUGAGGAGGUGGUGGAGGCCGUGGUAGAGGUCACUGGAGUGGACGUCAGGCCUGUGGAGGUCAGUGGUGUGGUUGAAGAGACUGUGGAGGUUUCUGAGGAUGUGGUAGAGGCGGCUGUGGAGGUCCCCAGAGUGGAGGUCAGGCCUGUGGAGGUUCCUGGAGUUGUACUGGGCGCUGUGGAGGUCUCAGAAGAUGUUGUCGAGGCUGCUGUGGAGGUCAAAGGAGUGGAGGUGAGGCCCGUGGAGGUCAAUGGUGUGGUUGAAGAGACUGUGGAGGUUUCUGAGGAUGUGGUGGAGGCCGCAGCGGAGGUCACAGGCGUGGAGGUGAGGCCUGUGGAUGUUGCUGGAGUUGUGCUGGAGACAGUGGAGGUCUCAGCUGAGGUGGUGGAGGCAGCUGUGGAGGUCAAAGGAGUGGAGGUGAGGCCUGUGGAGGUCCCUGGAGUGGUUGAGGAGACCGAGGAGGUCUCAGAAGAGGUGGUGGAGACCACUGUGGAGGUCAUGGGUGUGGAGGUGCCUGGAGUUGUACUGGAGGCCGUGGAGGUCUCAGAAGAUGUGGUCGAGGCUGAUGUGGAGGUCAAAGGAGUGGUGGUGAGGCCCGUGGAGGUCAAUGGUGUGGUUGAAGAGACUGUGG
Cairina moschata (Muscovy duck) is the source of this 1597-nucleotide long non-coding RNA. Lineage: Eukaryota; Metazoa; Chordata; Aves; Anseriformes; Anatidae. The record is from Ensembl.